AGUGAACGCUGGCGGUAGGCCUAACACAUGCAAGUCGAACGGCAGCACAGUAAGAGCUUGCUCUUACGGGUGGCGAGUGGCGGACGGGUGAGGAAUACAUCGGAAUCUACUUUUUCGUGGGGGAUAACGUAGGGAAACUUACGCUAAUACCGCAUACGACCUACGGGUGAAAGCAUGGGAUCUUCGGACCUUGCGCGAUUGAAUGAGCCGAUGUCGGAUUAGCUAGUUGGCGGGGUAAAGGCCCACCAAGGCGACGAUCCGUAGCUGGUCUGAGAUGAUGAUCAGCGACACUGGAACUGAGACACGGUCCAGACUCCUACGGGAGGCAGCAGUGGGGAAUAUUGGACAAAGGGCGCAAGCCUGAUCCAGCCAUACCGCGUGGGUGAAGAAGGCCUUCGGGUUGUAAAGCCCUUUUGUUGGGAAAGAAAAGCAGCAGGUUAAUACCCCGCUGUUCUGACGGUACCCAAAGAAUAAGCACCGGCUAACUUCGUG
RNAcentral lists this ribosomal RNA (492 nucleotides) under uncultured bacterium. RNAcentral's name for it is "partial 16S ribosomal RNA". It matches the Rfam family "Bacterial small subunit ribosomal RNA", at positions 29 to 507 of the family's 1533-position model. The record is from RNAcentral.